GUUGGCUGGCAGAGGAAUAGAAGAAUCCAGGGUCAGCUGAGCAUGCCCUCAGGUGGCUCACUGUUCUUUUCUAGAAUGUCAGGUGAUGU
This 89-nucleotide microRNA precursor is filed under the name Aotus nancymaae (Ma's night monkey). RNAcentral describes it as "miRNA (ENSANAG00000015265.1)". It matches the Rfam family "mir-1178 microRNA precursor family". Lineage: Eukaryota; Metazoa; Chordata; Mammalia; Primates; Aotidae. The record is from RNAcentral.